Molecule: unclassified non-coding RNA, 278 nt
Filed under: Hevea brasiliensis (rubber tree)
Lineage: Eukaryota; Viridiplantae; Streptophyta; Magnoliopsida; Malpighiales; Euphorbiaceae
Source: RNAcentral
AAGCAAAAGGGUUUGCUACUCAUUUCUAGUGUUUAGGACAAUAAAAGGGGACAAAGAGACUUUAGUUGCUUUAUGUUUAUUGUGAUUUGGAGUACGUAGUUGAAAAGAAAUCCACAAAUUGUAAGUGACUAAUUCAUGCCAUAAUAAUUUUUAUAAACAAAUGGGUGCUUUGGGAUCUUAGUUGAUAUUUGUUGCAAACGAAGAACUUUGCUAUUGCUUUUCUUUAAAUAAAGAAUGUCAAUGUCUCCUUUCAAUAAUUAAUAUAUCUUUUAUUCUUU